Molecule: ribosomal RNA, 528 nt
Filed under: Triticum aestivum (bread wheat)
Lineage: Eukaryota; Viridiplantae; Streptophyta; Magnoliopsida; Poales; Poaceae
Description: partial small subunit ribosomal RNA
Source: RNAcentral
AUGGAGACCAAAACUCUUAUUCUGAUCACCGUGGCCAUGACCAUGCUUGGGAUGGCACUUGGUGCCAGCCACACCGUAGGCGCACCGCACGGGUCAUGGGACCUUCAGACCAACUACUCUCAGUGGGUUUCGAGAAUCAGAUUCACCACCGGCGAUGAGCUCAAGUUCCAGUACUCCGCCGCCGUGCACAACGUGGUGGAGGUGAGCAAGACGGGGUAUGACUCCUGCAACGGCUCCAGCCCCAUAGCGACUUUCCCGAGUGGUAAUGAUGUUGUUCCGCUUGCCACCGUCGGGACCCGGUAUUUCAUCUGCGGCGUCUCUAGGCAUUGCGACGCCGGCAUGAAGGUCGAGGUCAACGUCAAGUCGAAAGAAGUGCGGACUGUGCAGCGAUGCCGACGGAGAGGGAACCGGCGUCGCUGCCAGUCCGAGACAGUAUUAAGCUCAGCUGCGGCGGCUGGCGUCGAUCAGUCCACGGUGGCCCGGCUUGGUCUGAUAGUUGUUGCGGCUGGUCUUACGUUGUUCUUUUAG